Molecule: ribosomal RNA, 235 nt
Filed under: uncultured bacterium
Lineage: Bacteria
Description: partial 16S ribosomal RNA
Rfam family: Bacterial small subunit ribosomal RNA
Source: RNAcentral
UACGUAGGGUGCGAGCGUUGUCCGGAAUUAUUGGGCGUAAAGAGCUCGUAGGCGGUGUGUCGCGUCGGCCGUGAAAACCUGCAGCUUAACUGUGGGCUUGCGGUCGAUACGGGCAUCACUGGAGUUCGGCAGGGGAGACUGGAAUUCCUGGUGUAGCGGUGAAAUGCGCAGAUAUCAGGAGGAACACCGGUGGCGAAGGCGGGUCUCUGGGGCCGAUACUGACGCUGGAGGAGCG